RNAcentral lists this unclassified non-coding RNA (272 nucleotides) under Hevea brasiliensis (rubber tree). Lineage: Eukaryota; Viridiplantae; Streptophyta; Magnoliopsida; Malpighiales; Euphorbiaceae. The record is from RNAcentral.
CGUUCUCUCCGUUGUGCCGCGGCUGGUGGAGGCGGUAAGUUCCUUCUUGCUCAGCCACAACCGACCCCAAAUUUAUUAUAAUAUAGGCUUAAAAAGUUCAUGACGCGAGAUAUUUAGGCAGAGGGCAAUUUCGUCCAAAAAAAAAAAACCUCAUUGGUGGAGCCUAUGUUUUGAUCGGUCUACCCGUCAACAGAAUAUUUGCCUUUCUCCCUCGCUCUUUGUGACUAUCUCACUUGGUGUUUAGCAGGAACUGAGUCGCAGCCGCUACCAAA